GCCUAACACAUGCAAGUCGAACGGAACUUUUUUAAUUGAUUUCUUCGGAAUGAUUUUGAUUAAGUUUAGUGGCGGACGGGUGAGUAACGCGUGAGUAACCUGCCUCUGAGAGGGGAAUAACAUUCUGAAAAGAAUGCUAAUACCGCAUAACAUAUAUUUAUCGCAUGGUAGAUAUAUCAAAGAUUUAUCGCUCAAAGAUGGACUCGCGUCCGAUUAGUUAGUUGGUGAGGUAACGGCUCACCAAGACUACGAUCGGUAGCCGGACUGAGAGGUUGAACGGCCACAUUGGGACUGAGACACGGCCCAGACUCCUACGGGAGGCAGCAGUGGGGGAUAUUGCGCAAUGGGGGCAACCCUGACGCAGCAACGCCGCGUGAAGGAUGAAGGUCUUCGGAUUGUAAACUUCUUUUAUUAAGGACGAAUAAAGUGACGGUACUUAAUGAAUAAGCUCCGGCUAACUACGUGCCAGCCGCCGCGGUAA
This 481-nucleotide ribosomal RNA is filed under the name uncultured bacterium. RNAcentral describes it as "partial 16S ribosomal RNA". It matches the Rfam family "Bacterial small subunit ribosomal RNA", at positions 46 to 523 of the family's 1533-position model. The record is from RNAcentral.